Molecule: long non-coding RNA, 626 nt
Filed under: Homo sapiens (human)
Lineage: Eukaryota; Metazoa; Chordata; Mammalia; Primates; Hominidae
Description: HSALNT0251805
Source: RNAcentral
GAGGAAUCACCACACUGUCUUCCACAAUGGUUGAACUAAUUUACUUUCCCACCAACGGUGUAAAAAGGUGAGAAGAACUCUUAAAGGGGUCCAACUGGGCUGAACAAUCUGUAGCCAGAUCACCUAAACCUGCCCCUUGAAUGGUGGUAGGAAAGAGGGAAGAAGUGAACAAGGGGCAGCACAGGGGAACAUGAGCUCAUGCCCCAUUUUUGGAUGCCGUUGGAAAAGAAAGCCAAAUAGCAAGAGGGAGGGGAUGUAAAAUCUUGAUAAAAGAUCUCCAGCUGCAUGGUGCUUUUCAUCAACAAAUGGAUCUGAGGUGCAAUUAGUAAAUGUGAAAGGAUCUCUCAGGACAGCCACAAAAGGGGUUGCUAAGUUUGGAAGCUUCUCUGAGUACCUCGCACAUGCAUCUCCAAGAGCAUAGAUCUUCUGCUACACGACAGGGCCAGGGCCAGGACACCACUUUCAGCUCCAGGCAAUUGCACUGAGGACUCAGUGACACAACCGUGUGAAGUGCCUGCUUCCCCUUCGCCUUCUGCCAUGAUUGGAAGCUUCCUGAGGCCUCUACAGAAGCAGAAGCCGCUAUGCUUCCUGUACAGCUUGCAGAACUAUGAGCCAAUUAAACCUCU